Molecule: long non-coding RNA, 4971 nt
Organism: Bubalus bubalis (water buffalo)
Lineage: Eukaryota; Metazoa; Chordata; Mammalia; Artiodactyla; Bovidae
Exons: 3
Source: RefSeq, a predicted model, not a curated record
CAGAGGAGAGACCUUGUCUGUGAGUGGGGAUUUCAAAGGCAGAGGCAGAGACAGAGGCCACUUACGUGGAAAGAAUUUCAGAGGGAAGGUCAGUGAUGUAAGAAGGGAUCUUCCGCCCGGUUAGGAACUGUGCCACUUCGUUGCUGAAGGUGUUACAGUUGUUCUCAAAGAUGUUGUAGGCUUCACUUCUGUACAUUGUGAGAAAGGUUUGGGACACAGAUAUGAGUCAGUAAGCGUGUACAUGAAACAGAGAUCAGGCAAUGGGAGGGUGACCACAGCUGAAUCUGAGGACAGGGAAUUCCUUUCCUGCACUCCCAAGCAGAGCUUGGUUUGCCACUCUGGGUAUUUAAAGGGAAGAAUGAAAUAAAAACAUAUGGCUCCUCCAUUUCAGGAGAAUCUUUGCAUUCACAAAAGCCGAGCUCCGGGGUUAGAAUUUUAACAGUUGAAACUGACUCAAGCUUCAGUAAGAGAAAACCUGCUCCAGUGUAUUUCAUCCCAACCUCUCUACAAACCCUGUUUCUGAUUUUCAGGACAAAAUACUUGGUUGAGAGCAGCAUGUGCUGAAAUAGCAGCAGCUGCUUUUAAUCAGAAGGAAUAAAUAGCUCUUCCUUCCCUCAAAGUUUCAGCAGUAGGUGUGCUGGGAUGGAACAGCGGCCUUGGAGGCAGUGCUGAGCUCUUUUUGUGGCACGGUAGCUCCUUUCCCAUCCUAAGUAGUUCAGCAAAUACUGGGCCAGACCUUGGGCUGAGUGCUCUGGGGGAAAUGACCUGGUGGCUGCCAUCUGGGGGCCAAUUAUCUAGUUGGGGAGACAGACACGACUACCGUCUCCCCUGUUCUCCACUCACCGGAACAGAGACUCCCCUAGGGAGGACAGGUACUCCAGAAAGAUUUCUUCUGUGACUUCUGUGCUCCCAACAUCAACCACAGAAUCUGGGGGCCCAAGCAAAGUCCUUCCCUACAAGAGCCAACAGAAAGAAAGCCAGUAAGUCACUCCCUCUGCUGAAUUUUUUCCCCUGCCAUGGAAGACCACAAAUGCUUUGCUCCAACAACUUCUAACUUUCAGAACACCUGGGGCAGAGGAAGACUUAUUUCCUCUUUGUGUCAAGGCUACAACAGCUUAGAGGCUCCUGGAGACUGUCCGUGGCCGUGGGCUGACAACAUGGCUGAGAAGUCGGGUGUCCGGUUUCUGGUGAGGCCCUGGGAAGCUGAGUCUUCUGCAGGUCGGCCUCCUGAUACUGUCCACUCCUUCAAUGGACAGACACAGAAACCCAGAACCUGCAGUCUCCCUUUGUUCCAGCAGGCCUAGUCACGAGGGCCGAGCAGGAUGGCCAGAAACGGCUCACACCUGGCGGCCAUCGUUCCAUGCCCGUAUUCAUCAUGGAUGCAGCCAGCUUUUCAUAUGACACACUUGAUCCCCCUGUAACACUGGGAAAACGUGAAGAACUGUGAAAAAGCUGGCAGAUAUUUCCACGAUUCAGUUCCUUUUUGAUCUGUGAGGCUAAUUUAACAAGGUGAUAGGGUUCCCCUGGCAAGGGAGUUACUGGCCCCUGAAAGGCCUACCAAAACCCCUCAGCCACGGGUUAACAGACUGGCGUAGCAGAUGCAAGGAGAGACUGAGGCCCUGGGGGAACCAGCUGAGGGGAAAGCAAUAGGAUCAGUGGGGAGGAGAGGGCUGGGAAUGGACUGGGGAGUGAGGGAGUGCACUUCAGAGCAGUGCUCCUUGAAAAGAUCACAAAUUCAUGCAAUAGCUCUUGAGCACCCACUGUGUGCCUGACAAGAUUCGAGGGGAAAGUGUGGUGAGCAGAUUACUGUAGUCAGAGAUGCAAGAGACCAAAAGGUCACUAUUUGACCCACUACUCUUCACUCGUAUAACAAAUAUGUUAUUGAGAACCUACUACAUGCCAGGCCUCAUGCAAAGCACUGGAGGUAUGUGGACAAAACAGAUGAGAUUCUUGUCCACGUGGAGCUUACAGUCUAGCAAUAAAGGCAAACCAAUGUAUAAUUAUGAGCUGUGAUAAGGGUCUUGUUGGAAAAAGUACAGAAUGCCAUUAGUACAUAAAACAGGGGACCUUCCCAGUCCAAAAGGUCAGAGAAGACUUGUCUAAGAAAGUGAUAGUGAGCUCACCUUAAGGAUGGAGAGAGUUAACCCAGUGAAGGAUCAGGGACUGAUGUCAGAGGACAGGUUUAAAUGUCCAAGAUGUUCAAGGAAUGAGAAGGGGUGGUAAGGGUGGGGAAGGGCACAACCUGCAAAGGGGCUAUCUAGAGAGAGGGAGCAAGCCCAGAUCGGAUGGGGCCUUGGAGGCUAUGCUGAGCUUUCUGGUUUUUAUUCUGAGAGCAGUGGGGAGAGUUCUGAUUUAAGCAGGGGAAUGCUAUGAUCAGAGUUGGGGUGUGAAAAGAUUGCUUCGCCAUCUGUACAGAGAACCGACUGAGAAGGAAGAGCGGAUGCACUGCUAUGGUCCAGGCUAGAAAUGAGGGUGACUGGAUUAAGGUGAAAACUCCGGAGAAGUGAGAAGAGAUGAAGAGGGACAGACUGCUUUGAGAUACACUUACAAGGUGGAACUGAAUUGGGCUUAAUGAAGGACUUGGUUAUAGGAGGUGGGGGACCAGUAGAAGGGAGAAAUAAAACAUGACAUCCCAUUUAUGAGUAUCAAAAUGAAUGUUUUUUUGGUCUUUGCUUGAGUACCUCCUGGGACAACACUUAGAUAGCUCAGACAGACAUUUUCUGGGAAAGGACAUGGGAUUUGGAGUCAGAGAAGCCUGAGUUUUAGUACUAGUGCUGCAACCGGCUACGUAACUUUGGGCACCUCCCUCUCUCUGUCAGAGCCCUCAUCAGCUUCACAUUGACUGAGUUCACAUCAGGAAAGAGGCACUGAGCUGGCCAUGGUGACAGAAGAGCGAGACAGUCUCAAGCUUACAAGGAGCACACACCGGGCUCCCUGUGGAGACUCAGCAACAGCCCGUUUCACCAUCACAUGCCCAAUGUGACAGAGGAACCACGAACGCCAUGGGAGCAGACAGGGGGCAGCUGCCUGGCGGACCUGUGAAGGGUAUUCUGGAACUGAGUCUUGAGGUCAUCAUGAAGAACUAGGCCACAGGGCUACCUACACUGGCUGGAUGCCAGAACUACGGAGGACAGCAAGGUUCCUGGACUAUGGGAACUCCCGGGAACCUGGGACCGUGGACGGGGUGGGGGCAGACACUCACUGGCGGACAGCUGGAGAUGCCACCACUGCCGAAGAAGAACUCAUCCUUGUGCACGACUAUGGAGGUGUGCCUGCGACACAGAGAAGAGGGAGAAUGAGCCAGAUGGCUUAUGGUCUGAGGAAAAGCAAACACCACCCUGCUGUAAGAGUGACUUCUGCCUCAGGACAUGACUUACAAGGUCAACAGCUUUAUAAUCCUAACCAAACAAAGAGACAAAGUAAAACAAGAGUAUAGAAAAGCUAUUAUCCACUUCUUCAUUGAGCAUGUGUGAGGUGAAAUCCUCUAGAAAACAAGAAUGAACUCUGAAGAUGCCAUCCAUUUGACUAGCCAAUGCACGUGUAUUCUGUACCUCUAUACCUCUAUAUGCCAGAAGUGAUGAGAGAUACGGAAAUGCAAGUACGAAAUGCAAGUCCUGCCUUUAAGGAGCCCAAAGUCAAAUGGAAAAAGAGACAUACGGUAACUGUUUACUGAGUGCUAAGCAAAGAGGAGAAGGGGACAACAGAGAAUGAGAUGGUUGGAUGGCAUCACUGACUCGAUGGACCUGAGUCUGAGUGAACUCCGGGAGUUGGUGAUGGACAGGGAGGCCUGGCGUGCUGUGAUUCAUGGGGUCGCAAAGAGUCGGACAUGACUGAGCGACUGAUCUGAUCUGAAGCAAAGAGUGCUUACUUUUGCCUUCAAUGCUUCGGUGUUUGCCCUGUGACUUUCUAAAGGAUGAAACUAGGCCCUGUACAGAAGGGGAGCUGAUAUGAUUACACUUUUUCCUCUGCCUAACCUGCACUAUCUUGCCCCUUCAAGCAAACUUAAAACAGAUAACCUUAGCCUAAUUUUCUUUUUUUGGAAGAGACAAAAGAAACCAUGGCUCCUCCAUGACAACCUAUUGAUGAUGAAGCAUAGUGUCAUUAAAAGCAGUUAAGAAUAUGGCAUAGGACUUCCCUGCAGUCCAGGAGUUAAGACUCUGCCUUCCAAUGCAGGAAGUACAGGUUGAAUCCCUGGUUAGGGAGCUAAAAUCCCACAUACUUCGUGGCCAAAAAAAAACCAUUAAAAAUGCAAAUAAUAUUGUAACAAAUUAAAGACUUUAAAAACAGUCCAUAUUAAAAAAAAAAAAGAAUAUGGCAUAAGUUCAGAUCUGAGCUUUUCCCUUUGCUAGAGGUGGAUCUUGGGCAAGUUUACUCAACCUGAGCUUCAGUUUCAUCAAUACAAAGUUGUAAUCAGUAAUGAUUAUUGGUGUAAAGCAGCACAGUGUGUGGGACAAAGAAUUCUGAUAAAUGGAGAUACUGGAUAUAAUUUUUUAAAAAGAUCAAAGAAAUUCCACUUCAGGGUUGAUAGGUAAGAUCUAAGAACAGAUUUCAGUAUCCAUCAGAUUAGUCUGAAAUCCUGUAUUACAUGUAAUCAUUUUACACUUUGCUGUUAGUGCUGUGAGGCUAAAUGAAAUAACAAAGGAAAAUAAAAUGUAGCAGAGUUCUUCUGCCUCUAGAGACCAGUCUGCUUUUCACUAGGAGACCGGCUGCUUUGACCACAAGGUCACAAAUGGGACAGAGGGAUUCUGGCCCAGGGUUUUGGGGACUGUGGGGCAGGCUCUGCCUUGAUCCAAACCCAGCUGAAAUUCCAGAGAUGGAUCAGAAACAGAAACGGAUGCCAAAAGGAAGUGAUAACCCAUUUAGGACAGGCACUGAGUUGGAUUCUUCAUCUCUUCCAGCCGACUCUAGGAGACUCUAAAACACCACACUCUUCCUUUUACCGUGUGUAAAGUGGAGAGACUAACGCUGCCU